GAAAGUUCCUGUGUUUGAGUAUUAUGGAGAUCACGAGAAGGCAUACCGAACUGGAGCCAACAUCUCUCCGGAGAAGCUGAUGAGGGGAGAGGCCUCACUGCACCUGCCAGCCAUUCAGCUCAGUGAUGCUGGAGAGUACUUCUGUAAGGUGGUGGUCACCCCUGAGAUGGAUGAGAAAAGUGUGCAGAGUGGGAUGGAUGUUAGAGGCUGGUCUGGGGACCCACCGUGGGCUAGAGAGCUGGGCUUUGGUGGGUGGUGAGAUGACUCUGGGCAAGGUGUGAAGCCUCUGAAUCUCGGUGCCCUUGCUAGAAACAAAUGUGAUGGCAUCU
Ochotona curzoniae (black-lipped pika) is the source of this 329-nucleotide long non-coding RNA. RefSeq lists it as uncharacterized. The transcript is spliced from 2 exons. The record is from RefSeq and is a predicted model, not a curated record. Lineage: Eukaryota; Metazoa; Chordata; Mammalia; Lagomorpha; Ochotonidae.